UUGAACUCGGGUUUCUUGCCUUUGAAGUCUGAGAAAGGCUCGUUCUCCAUCUGAUCUGGCUUCACCCAGUCCCAGGACAUGUAGCCAAGGCUCAGUAAACUCACCAUUGAAAGCCCGAGAACGUCACAGCCAGCUGAAACAGGAUGCCAAAGAAAACACGCUCGUGACCGUACAGACCGAUUUGUAAUGUUGAGGAAAACGUUCUCAGAUUGUCCUUCGGGGCCCACCAUCAGAAAGUUCCUUUGAGGAUGGGUUGCAAGCCAUCAAGAGGUUCAUUCUGCCAUCUACUACGUUUGAGUGGGGAGCAUGCAAAGGCUGAAGCUCACGCUUCACUCUUAAGCUUUGUGGUGCCAGCAAGGGAACUGGGGUGCUGUCCAAUCAGCUGUGGUCUAUUACAAAAUUAUGGGCUCUGUAAGAGGCCUGGCUUCCAGGCCUAGAAGAGAGGUGUUUAGGGAAUGCAUGGUGUGGAUUUGUGUCAGUUUUGUGUGGCAUUGGUUUCUUUUUUCUGUUUUGUUUGCUUGAUUGUUCUCAAAGAUUUCAGUUGCUUUGG
Long non-coding RNA from Anguilla anguilla (European eel), 550 nucleotides. RefSeq lists it as uncharacterized. NCBI's taxonomy places the organism in Eukaryota, Metazoa, Chordata, Actinopteri, Anguilliformes, Anguillidae. The record is from RefSeq and is a predicted model, not a curated record. The transcript is spliced from 3 exons.